This 1812-nucleotide unclassified non-coding RNA is filed under the name Leishmania donovani. RNAcentral's name for it is "gene:LdHU3.02.0570(CDS-product:hypothetical_prote in_conserved)". Lineage: Eukaryota; Euglenozoa; Kinetoplastea; Trypanosomatida; Trypanosomatidae. The record is from RNAcentral.
UCAGGAGCCUCGCACCGCAUCUCUCCUAGUCUCCCGACAUCAACAGACACACAUCUGACACACACACACACACGCACACGCACACGCAUCUGACACAUCACCAUGGCUGGUGGCAAGUCGUCGAAGCGCGUGAAGCUGCGCACCAAGAUCGCGCGGAGGCAGCAGACUCAACACGCGACUGACGAACACGCGCCGUCGUCGAGUGGCCUCUCAUCCUCUCCGCCGCCGGUCGGCGGCGCGGGCGAGGCGACGGCAGCCCCGCCAACAGAGGUGGAUCGUCAAGCGGCGCUGCACAUCCGCGACGCCCUGCGGCAGCGCCAGGGUCGCACCGGACGUGCACCAGCUAUGAAGGUGAAGGAAGCCAGAGGUGUUCGCGCUACCGCUGCCCCUGUUGGCGCGAAGCGCAAGCACGCAAUGAACGCGAAGAAGGACAAGCCUUCAUCGCAGCGCACCGCGGCGCUGCGGCGGGCGACGGUGCUGGAGCGGCGCCGACUCACGCUACCGCGGAUGUCCGCUGCGGAGACGCGCAUGACGGUGGCGCAGGAGGAGCUGCAGCUGUUUGAUGCGGUGCAAACAGUGCCGGCGUACGCUGAAGACCCCUUCGCUGCGGUCAUGCAGCACCUGUCCGCCACGAUGGAUGUAUUGCAACCACAGACGCCAGAUGUCGGCAUUGCAGCGCGCGCUGUUGGCGCGAGACGCCGGCACUGAGUGCCGGCGUGUGCAGGCCGACCACCGCCACCGCCAUCCUCCUCCUUCUUUUUGCGGCCAUUUUGCUGAGCACGAGUGCCACGCACGGCGCUCUCUCUCUCUUUCUUGGACCCCGUAAGUGGUGCCAAGCCGGAGAACGCGCAACUUUGUGUGCCGCGAUCGAGGGGUGGGCGUUGGUGGAUGUGGCGGGGCGUGAGGAAGGGCUCGCGGCGCGCCCGUGCACACUGUGGCUGGUGCAUCGUCUACAGGAAAGCGCCCUGCCGGAGGGUCGUGUGCAGCCGCAGCCGCUGCCGACUAAGACGCUCAGCACGUCCAAGUAAAACUGAACAGAUCAGGGGAGAGGGAGACGGGAGGGGUGGGGGUGGGGCGGGAUGCUGCCCAGCAGGAGUGGUCGCUCACCCGCGACGCAUCCGGCAGUGUAAAGGCGCGCACAUCCGUGCAUGGUGGGGCUUGCGACGGGGGGUGGUGGAGCUGAUGGACCUGCACACGCAACGCCUCGCACACACAGACCUCUUCUUUCCGACAUUGCCCAUGCCAUAACAGUCACCAUAAGCCGCCCCCCGUUCUCUUUGUUCGGCGAGUCUUCGUCGUGCCGCUUACGCCGCGAGCGAACGCGCACGCACGCACGUGGCCUUGCCGACGUGGAGAUGCUCAUCGUGCCUCCGCUUUCGCAGCCUUCGUGCCAUUCCUUGUUCUUGUUUGCGUGCUACGACGACGUCGAUGCGCAGGCGCAGGCGAUUCUCCAUGUGCUCCCUUUGCUGUGCAGGACUGUCAAGUGUGCGCGCGCAUGCGAACACCACCUGUGCCAGCACCCCCUCUCUCUCGCAUAACUUCGGAAUCCCUCGACUGCGCGUCGGCUUCGACGUGCUUGUGCGCUCAUCCGCGUGCAGCGCACCCGCGCACGCAGCGAAGAGAACCACGCACAGCGCCCUUCCCCCAUUCUCCUCCACUUACCUACGCAUAGGCAGACGCAUACGCAGACCGGCAGCAAGCUGCGAACACGUAGCCGUAGAGAGGAGGCCCAAGGGAAGUGCGAGCACCGUUUACACAACACCGAAUAUGAUUUUAAAUGAGCGCUGCACACCUCUUUCCUACUCGCAAUAC